UGGUAUGAAGAUAAAGCUGAAAUGUUUCAUGUGACAAACCGUUGGACUACGAGCAGGAAUCAAACUGUCACAUCUGAAUCUGGUUCCUCCCGGCCCAUACUUGAAAAAGUUUGUACUGUAGCAAUCCAGAGGUCUGUGCUGUACUCCCUCUGAUGAAAAGCCUGAUGCAAGGUCUCACAAACCUGGGAAACACCUACUACACAUCAAAAACUGGGUUCCUUUGGUCUAAAAGCUGUGGAUGGAAAGACAGAGUGUGUGUGCUGAGGGGCAGUUACUCCCUGUCUCGGAAUGGAAAUCACCCUUGAGCAACAAGAACAACGUGUACUAAAGAUUCACUGGUAUGUGUGAAAACUCUCAGUUAGAGACUCCUUUUCCUUACAAUGAAUUUCCUGACACAGCGUCUGCUGUUGCCUUACGUUACUCUGGAUAUUUUCAUCAGAUACCCAGUAAUCAUCUACUUGCAGAGAAGAUGCUGAUUCUUCCUAACACCACGUCUUUACCUUCUGCUGUGUUGUCUGUUCUUCAAAAAAUAUUCUUGCACCUGCUGGCCUUCAAAGGAAUGAGAUCCUGUGGUUUUAAAUUCCCAGUCUGUUUUUUGGUAAAAUACAGAAGCAACAUCAUAAAGCUUACAUCAAAGUCCUACACUAGAAGGGAAGAGGAAAGCAGAAGGGAUGCUGUGUUAUCUUUACCAACUAGCUCACUGCAGCUAGCAUUCAGUGGCUUUGCUGGGGCUGGAUUCUGCCACAACUCACCUGCCUGGAAGCCCCACAGUGAAGUUCAAGCCUGUCUGCAAACUGCAAGUGCAACGGAACUGAAUUAAAAGGUUUUUAAAAGCAUAUGCAGCAUUAAAUGUUAAACACCCCAUGAUUAUCAAGCCUCAAAGUGUGAUAUGAUCCAGAUUCUUCUCUGCCUCAUUUAGUGUCAGAUUAAUGAGAACAUAGGGUGCUGGGUGAGGAUCUUCUGAGCACCAGUCAGCCCAGUUCAUGAAAGAGCUCUUUAUUCUCCAGCAAAAUAGAGAAUGAGACAGAGUUUGGGGUCCUGUGAGGGAAGCAGAGCAUGUGCUUGGUGGGAUGAUGAGCAACUUUGAAGGAAUUUUUAUUUUUUAAACUCGGGGUGGGGACCUGUCUUUCAUGUUCGGUGGAGGGCAGAAAUGCAACAAGUAGUGGACUACAACACAUAAUGCGUGUGUGUCAUGUUAUAGUUUCACUCAGCCUAGAAAAAAUGUUUUUUACUGAAAACUAAGCAAACAUUUUCAGGACUGAGUAAAAAGUAUGCUUUAACACAGUGGCUAGGGAGCAGGAUUAGGGAGGAGCAAAGUGAUUUGAACCCAAGAAAGAUGAAUUAGGCAUAGAAAGAUAAUGCACUGUGUGAGUAUUAAUGUUGCACUGAUAGGUACCUAUAAUAUGGUUCUGAAGACUUUGUCAGAAAACCAUUCAUUCCAACUAUGCCGGUGGCUAUCUAUCUUCUGAACAGUAAAUGUAUGUCCCCCAAAUACCUGCAGUUGUGACUUACGCACUUAAGUAAAAGAUGGUAACUGUGAUGCAGGACUUUUUGGUUCAUUUUUGCAUUAUUUUUGCAGCAUAAAAUUGCCUUAAAGAUCGUGAUAGCAGCCAUGGGACUGUCUUCUGUAGUGGAAGGAUUCUCAGCUAACACAGGCUUUCUGUAACUGCCUCUGUUUCAGCUCCCUCCUUACUGCAAGUAGAGUCGAAAAAAAUUGGAAGCAUAUUUCACAGGUCCAUACUGUAUUGAAUGCAUGCUUCUGUUCACUGUCACCUCAUUUGUAAUCUCCCCAGGCAGAUUAUUUGCACUUACUUUUAUCCUUACAGUUCUCAAAAAUCUACUUAAAGAAUCCAGUCGCCGCAAGACAGACUGUACAGUGCUUGAAACAUCUAGAGAGUUCCAGUGGAAGAGGGACAGGCUAAAGGGAGGGCCGUUGCACUAGCACUAUGCAAACACAGUUUCUGUCUUUACAAGUUUAUAAUGUAAAUAAGGAAUGCUGGAGGAGAAACCAGCUGUACACAGAGGUGAAGGAAGUUGCUCAAGAUGGGAAGGCAGGCCAGCAGAAGAACCAGUUAUAUAUUGCUGUAUUUCACAACAGAGUGCUAUUAUUUUCUGCUGCACCAGAACUUGUACAGAUGCUUACUCCUGUAUGACUUGCUGUAAGAUUUAAUAUAAUACCAUUUCUCCCUCAGUGGACCCAUUCCAAAUUGUCUGCUAGUAUUUCAUUACUGCUGCAUUCUCUAUGCAAAAUAGAGGUAAAUUUUUAUGGAAGUAUUUACAGAAGUGCUGGGAGUUUAAAACUGGAUCUCCAUGCAUUUAGAAGCACCUUCUUUCUUUAUUAAAUCACUAAUAAUAAUGGCCUUAAAAUAUUCUCAGACAUUCUCUGUGAGGCCAACAAAGCAAGUCUGACAUUUCCUAAGCUAAAGCCAUUUCAGAAAAUUGACGAAUUAAAUAAAAUGAAGUUUGAAAUAUUUCCUAAAGCUGUAGUCAGGUAAAUUAUGAAAUGUGAUGGGCCAGGCUCAAUGCUGUGCUUCAAAUUAUUUACAUGAUUGCAGAAAUACAGAAUAGCUGUAUAUGUGUUUUUUUACUUUUGCCACACUCACCAUGACUUUUUACUUGUGAUGAGAUGUGUUUUUCCAAAGUUCAGGACUUCUGUUUUUUUAGAAGCUAUAAGAAAGAUUUGAGCCUUGGCUUGUGGCUUUAUGGGAAAGUAGCUUCAACUUUAACCGUGGAAAAGAGAACACUUCACAAUGGAUGUGACCUAACCUACUUAGACUGUUGGAUAAUUAAAUACAGGGUAAUCUGAACUGGUGGACCAAAGUACCUCCAGACUUACCACACCAUUUCACCUUCCAGUUGCGAUUAGCAUCAACACCAUGACAGGGAAACCUUGUGUUCUUUGAUCUUGUUUUUCUCCAAAAUCGAUCCUAACAUAAGUUAUAAAAUAGUUAAAUAGCAGUAUUACUACAUUUUGGCAAAAAUCUAUUUAUUUGUACACAUAACAAACCAACCCUGGUAAACAUAUUGAGUAUUAUAUUUUAACUGCAGUAAUUUACUUCCGUUUUGCAUGCCACAAAGUGAUGGACCAGAUUAUACAGAAAUUCACGUUUGAAUGAUGUA
Molecule: long non-coding RNA, 3120 nt
Organism: Harpia harpyja (harpy eagle)
Lineage: Eukaryota; Metazoa; Chordata; Aves; Accipitriformes; Accipitridae
Exons: 3
Source: RefSeq, a predicted model, not a curated record